CUACGGGCUGCAGCAGUGAGGAAUAUUGCACAAUGGAGGAAACUCUGAUGCAGCAACGCCGCGUGGAGGAUGACGCAUUUCAGUGUGUAAACUCCUUUUAUAUGUCAAGAAAAUGACGGUAGCAUAUGAAUAAGCACCGGCUAACUCCGUGCCAGCAGCCGCGGUAAUACGGAGGGUGCAAGCGUUACUCGGAAUCACUGGGCGUAAAGGACGCGUAGGCGGGAUAUCAAGUCAGGUGUGAAAUCCUACAGCUUAACUGUAGAACUGCACUUGAAACUGGUAACCUAGAGUAUGGGAGGGGGAGAUGGAAUUAGUGGUGUAGGGGUAAAAUCCGUAGAUAUCACUAGGAAUACCUAAAGCGAAGGCGAUCUCCUGGAACAUAACUGACGCUAAGGCGUGAAAGCGUGGGGAGCAAACAGGAUUAGAUACCCCAGUAGUC
This 439-nucleotide ribosomal RNA is filed under the name uncultured bacterium. Its description in RNAcentral is "partial 16S ribosomal RNA". It matches the Rfam family "Bacterial small subunit ribosomal RNA", at positions 339 to 795 of the family's 1533-position model. The record is from RNAcentral.